UACGAAGGAUCCAAGCGUUGUCCGGAUUUACUGGGUUUAAAGGGUGCGUAGGCGGACUUUUUAAGUCAGUGGUGAAAGCCUGUAGCUUAACUAUAGAAUUGCCAUUGAAACUGAAAGUCUCGAGUGUGGUUGAGGUAACUGGAAUAUAUCAUGUAGCGGUGAAAUGCUUAGAUAUGAUAUAGAAACACCAAUUGCGAAGGCAGGUUACUGAGCCAUUACUGACGCUGAGGCACGAAAGCGUGGGGAGUCAAACA
RNAcentral lists this ribosomal RNA (254 nucleotides) under uncultured bacterium. RNAcentral describes it as "partial 16S ribosomal RNA". It matches the Rfam family "Bacterial small subunit ribosomal RNA", at positions 524 to 775 of the family's 1533-position model. The record is from RNAcentral.